Molecule: long non-coding RNA, 2455 nt
Filed under: Pelobates cultripes (western spadefoot toad)
Lineage: Eukaryota; Metazoa; Chordata; Amphibia; Anura; Pelobatidae
Source: RNAcentral
CCAACCGCAGCAAUACAUCUCCUGCUCGCAGCCAGACUAGCCAACACAGCAAUACAUCUCCUGCUCGCAGCCAGACUAGCCAACACAGCAAUACAUCUCCUGCUUGCAGCCAGACUAGCCAACACAGCAAUACAUCUCCUUCUCACAGCCAGACUAGCCAACACAGCAAUACAUCUCCUGCUCACAGCCAGACUAGCCAACACAGCAAUACAUCUCCUGCUCGCAGCCAGACUAGCCAACACAGCAAUACAUCUCCUGCUCGCAGUCAGACUAGCCAACACAGCAAUACAUCUCCUGCUCGCAGCCAGACUAGCCAACACAGCAAUACAUCUCCUUCUCACAGCCAGACUGGCCAACACAGCAAUACAUCUCCUUCUCGCAGCCACACUAGCCAACACAGCAAUACAUCUCCUGCUCACAGCCUGACUAGCCAACACAGCAAUACAUCUCCUGCUCGCAGCCCAACACAGCAAUACAUCUCCUGCUCGCAGCCAGACUAGCCAACACAGCAAUACAUCUCCUACUCGCAGCCAGACUAGCCAACACAGCAAUACAUCCCUUUGUCCCUUUAAUAAUGGGUAAAUGUGAACAUGUUAGGACAUGUCGGACAGAUUGCGAUGAGAUGGUCUGGGUGUCUAUAGUGUCCCUUUAAUAAUGGGUAAAUGUGAACAUGUUAGGACAUGUCGGACAGAUUGCGAUUAGAUGAUCUGGGUGCCUAUAGUGUCCCUUUAAUAAUGGGUAAAUGUGAACAUGUUAGGACAUGUCGGACAGAUUGCGAUGAGAUGGUCUGAGUGUCUAUAGUGUCCCUUUAAUAAUGGGUAAAUGGGAACAUGUUAGGACAUGUCGAACAGGUUGCGAUGAGAUGGACUGGGUGUCUAUAGUGUCCCUUUAAUAAUGGGUAAAUGUGAACAUGUUAGGACAUGUCGGACAGAUUGCGAUGAGAUGGUCUGAGUGCCUAUAGUGUCCCUUUAAUAAUGGGUAAAUGUGAACAUGUUAGGACAUGUCGGACAGAUUGCGAUGAGAUGGUCUGAGUGUCUAUAGUGUCCCUUUAAUAAUGGGUAAAUGGGAACAUGUUAGGACAUGUCGGACAGAUUGCGAUGAGAUGGUCUGGGUGCCUAUAGUGUCCCUUUAAUGAUGGGUAAAUGGGAACAUGUUAGGACAUGUCGGACAGAUUGCGAUGAGAUGAUCUGGGUGCCUAUAGUGUCCCUUUAAUAAUGGGUAAAUGUGAACAUGUUAGGACAUGUCGGACAGGUUGCGAUGAGAUGGUCUGAGUGUCUAUAGUGUCCCUUUAAUAAUGGGUAAAUGUGAACAUGUUAGGACAUGUCGGACAGGUUGCGAUGAGAUGGUCUGGGUGUCUAUAGUGUCCCUUUAAUAAUGGGUAAAUGUGAACAUGUUAGGACAUGUCGGACAGAUUGCGAUGAGAUGGUCUGGGUGCCUAUAGUGUCCCUUUAAUGAUGGGUAAAUGGGAACAUUUUAUGACAUGUCGGACAGAUUGCGAUGAGAUGGUCUCGAUGUCUGUAGUGUCCCUUUAAUGAUGGGUAAAUGGGAACAUUUUAUGACAUGUCGGACAGAUUGCGAUGAGAUGGUCUCGAUGUCUGUAGUGUCUCUUUAAUAAUGGGUAAAUGGGAACAUGUUAGGACAUGUCGGAACAGAUUGCGAUGAGAUGGUCUGAGUGUCUAUAGUGUCCCUUUAAUAAUGGGUAAAUGGGAACAUGUUAGGACAUGUCGGACAGAUUGCGAUGAGAUGGUCUCGGUGUCUAUAGUGUCCCUUUAAUAAUGGGUAAAUGGGAACAUGUUAGGACAUGUCGGACAGAUUGCGAUGAGAUGGUCUCGGUCUCUAUAGUGUCCCUUUAAUAAUGGGUAAAUGGGAACAUGUUAGGACAUGUCAGACAGAUUGCACUGAGAUGGUCUGGGUGCCUAUAGUGUCCCUUUAAUAAUGGGUAAAUGGGAACAUGUUAGGACAUGUCAGACAGAUUGCGAUGAAACAAUCCCGCUGGAUGUCUGUUUAGAAUCAAUGGCAAGAUGGAUCAGGAGUGACUAGUGAGAAUGGUCAUAGAUUCCAAAUGCGAGUCACUGUUAAUGGCUCAGUUCAUACAGUGUCCAUCUGGAUCUAAUUAAAGCAAAAAGGGAAAUAAAAUGAGGUAGCGUUUGUCUACACGGAAGAUCUACAAACCCUGUCGCACUUCAAUGAGACAACUCGCAGCUCAUCCCAUGUUAUCUCAAGUCAGAGUGUCAGGAAGGAUUGUGUAUAAAUACUCUGCAUAUAGUGCACUAGUUACAAUAUAAAAGUAAAACAUUUUGAAAUUUGUCUUUAAUGUUUUUUACUGCUAUGGCAAGCUGUGAGAGACACAUGUAACAUCAUAGCUGUGUUCUGAUUGGUUGCUUGGUGCUUUCAGCCAAUCAGAAAACACCUGCAAUUCAACUCAUGGUUUGUGGCUAGAAAGUACACGGAUAAU